CGUACACUCCUACGGGAGGCAGCAGUGAGGAAUAUUGGACAAUGGGUGGAAGCCUGAUCCAGCCAUCCCGCGUGCAGGAAGACGGCCCUAUGGGUUGUAAACUGCUUUUAUCUGGGGAUAAACCUACUUACGUGUAAGUAGCUGAAGGUACCAGAAGAAUAAGCACCGGCUAACUCCGUGCCAGCAGCCGCGGUAAUACGGAGGGUGCAAGCGUUAUCCGGAUUUAUUGGGUUUAAAGGGUCCGUAGGCGGACUGAUAAGUCAGUGGUGAAAUCCGACAGCUUAACUGUCGAACUGCCAUUGAUACUGUUAGUCUUGAGUAAGGUUGAAGUGGCUGGAAUAAGUAGUGUAGCGGUGAAAUGCAUAGAUAUUACUUAGAACACCAAUUGCGAAGGCAGGUCACUAAGUCUUAACUGACGCUGAUGGACGAAAGCGUGGGGAGCGAACAGGAUUAGAAACCCCGGUAGUCCCA
RNAcentral lists this ribosomal RNA (471 nucleotides) under uncultured organism. Its description in RNAcentral is "partial 16S ribosomal RNA". It matches the Rfam family "Bacterial small subunit ribosomal RNA", at positions 330 to 797 of the family's 1533-position model. The record is from RNAcentral.